UGGGGAAUCUUGGACAAUGGGGGCAACCCUGAUCCAGCCAUGCCGCGUGAGCGAUGAAGGCCUUAGGGUUGUAAAGCUCUUUCACCGGUGAAGAUAAUGACGGUAGCCGGAGAAGAAGCCCCGGCUAACUCCGUGCCAGCAGCCGCGGUAAUACGGAGGGGGCUAGCGUUGUUCGGAAUUACUGGGCGUAAAGCGCGCGUAGGCGGGCUGUUAAGUCGGGGGUGAAAUCCCGGGGCUCAACCCCGGAACUGCCCUCGAUACUGGCAGCCUAGAGAUCUGGAGAGGCGAGUGGAAUUCCGAGUGUAGAGGUGAAAUUCGUAGAUAUUCGGAGGAACACCAGUGGCGAAGGCGGCUCGCUGGCCAGAUACUGACGCUGAGGUGCGAAAGCGUGGGGAGCAAACAGGAUUAGAUACCCCCGUAGUCC
RNAcentral lists this ribosomal RNA (424 nucleotides) under uncultured prokaryote. RNAcentral describes it as "bacterial SSU rRNA". It matches the Rfam family "Bacterial small subunit ribosomal RNA", at positions 355 to 796 of the family's 1533-position model. The record is from RNAcentral.